This 460-nucleotide ribosomal RNA is filed under the name uncultured bacterium. Its description in RNAcentral is "partial 16S ribosomal RNA". It matches the Rfam family "Bacterial small subunit ribosomal RNA", at positions 338 to 795 of the family's 1533-position model. The record is from RNAcentral.
CCUACGGGAGGCAGCAGUGAGGAAUAUUGGUCAAUGGACGAGAGUCUGAACCAGCCAAGUAGCGUGAAGGAUGACUGCCCUAUGGGUUGUAAACUUCUUUUAUAUGGGAAUAAAAUGUUCCACGUGUGGGAUUUUGUAUGUACCAUAUGAAUAAGGAUCGGCUAACUCCGUGCCAGCAGCCGCGGUAAUACGGAGGAUCCGAGCGUUAUCCGGAUGUAUUGGGUUGAAAGGGAGCGUAGGUGGAUUGUUAAGUCAGUUGUGAAAGUUUGCGGCUCAACCGUAACAUUGCAGUUGAAACUGGCAGUCUUGAGUACAGUAGAGGUGGGCGGAAUUCGUGGUGUAGCGGUGAAAUGCUUAGAUAUCACGAAGAACUCCGAUUGCGAAGGCAGCUCACUGGUCUGUAACUGACACUGAGGCUCGAAAGUGUGGGUAUCAAACAGGAUUAGAUACCCUAGUAGUC